Non-coding RNA from Otolemur garnettii (small-eared galago), 46 nucleotides. The record is from Rfam. NCBI's taxonomy places the organism in Eukaryota, Metazoa, Chordata, Mammalia, Primates, Galagidae.
CCUAAGGCUCUUUUCAGAGCCAUCCACACUUUUCUAAAAGAACUGU